RNAcentral lists this long non-coding RNA (775 nucleotides) under Olea europaea subsp. europaea. The record is from RNAcentral. Lineage: Eukaryota; Viridiplantae; Streptophyta; Magnoliopsida; Lamiales; Oleaceae.
CUCAAUCAUAAGCUGAAACAAUUUUUACUUCUCCGUCUCAAAUUGAAUCCCAACUAAUGUAAACGGUGAUCAGACAUUCACAAGUAUUAAGUCUAGAAUGAGAUACUCAACAAUUGAACAAAUACCAAUUAAUUCAAUUAAAGAAGGAUUCACAUAAUCAUAAUUAGGCUACAUCACAAACUCUAGAAGAUAGAAAUUAGUUCAUGCUGAAAUUGAAGAAAAACUUUAUAGAAGAGUUUAACAUAAACAUCAAGAAAGUGAAAGAGAAUGGAAGAAGGAAUAAGCUCAGUAAAUCUGGUUUGCAGUUUGCUUGGUGUAGAUUCCUCCUUUUGAUAGCCAAAAAAAGAAGAGAAAGAAUUGAUCCUCCUUGCUUUCCAGCCUCCUUGGAUGAAAAAUCCCCUCUUUCCUCCACCAUAAACUCAUUAUCCUUGCUCUCUAUCAAACAAUCUUCACAAGGAAAGAAGAAAUCAAUCCCAAAUUCACCUCAUCAAGUCAAUAUAUUUUCAACCUUGGAUUUUGAGCCAUUUUUCACUUGGAAAACGUGGGACUUUCAAAAUCUAUACUUUAGGAGAAAUUGUAGCACGUUAAAUAGCUUUCCAAGGCCUCUUGAAUCAGAUCAAUAUGACGUCGGAUGAGGGAGAUAUGAUGAAAAUAUUAAAGACAGUGCAGAUAGCUUCCAACUUAGGAUUUCUUCACGGUCCAGAGACGUAUUCCACUGAUUUGCUCCCUUCAUUAAUCAUUCCAAUCUAUUUUCUUUUGAUUGGGUGGGUCAAGC